GCUUAGAAGCAGCCACUCAUUUAAAGAGUGCGUAAUAGCUCACUGGUCGAGUGAUCCUGCGCCGAAAAUUUCCGGGGCUAAAACGUACUACCGAAGCUACGGCAUCAUUUAUGAUGGGUAGGGGAGCUUCGUAUGCAGGCUGAAGCAUGACCGUAAGGACAUGUGGACAGUAUACGAGUGAGAAUGUUGGCAUGAGUAGCGAGACGUGGGUGAGAAUCCCACGGGCCGUAAACCCAAGGUUUCCAGGGGAAGGUUCGUCCGCCCUGGGUUAGUCGGGACCUAAGCCGAGGCCGAAAGGCGUAGGUGAUGGACAACAGGUUGAUAUUCCUGUACCGCCAAUAAGCGUUUGAGAGAUGGAGUGACACAGUAGGAUAAGCUAACCGUACUGUUGGUUAUGUACGGCUAAGCAUUGAGGCAGUCUAAAUAGGCAAAUCCGUUUAGACAAUGCUAGGAUGUGAUGGGGAAGCCCUUCGGGGCGAAGUAGCUGAUUUCACACUGUCAAGAAAAGCUUCUAUCGAGUUUAAAGGCGCCCGUACCGUAAACCGACACAGGUGGGUGAGGAGAGUAUCCUAAGGCCAGCGAGAGAACUAUUGUUAAGGAACUCGGCAAAAUGACCCCGUAACUUAGGGAGAAGGGGUGCCUGUCUAUGACAGGCCGCAGAGAAUAGGCCCAAGCGACUGUUUACCAAAAACACAGGUUUCUGCUAAGUCGCAAGACGAUGUAUAGGAGCUGACGCCUGCCCGGUGCUGGAAGGUUAAGGGGAUCUGUUAGAGCAAUCGAAGCAGUGAACUUAAGCCCCAGUAAACGGCGGCCGUAACUAUAACGGUCCUAAGGUAGCGAAAUUCCUUGUCGGGUAAGUUCCGACCCGCACGAAAGGCGUAACGAUUUGGGCACUGUCUCAACAAUAGACUCGGUGAAAUUGUAAUCCCGGUGAAGAUGCCGGGUACCUGCGACAGGACGGAAAGACCCCAUGGAGCUUUACUGUAGCUUGACGUUGGGUCUUGGUACUACAUGUACAGGAUAGGUGGGAGACUAUGAAGCAUGGACGCCAGUCUGUGUGGAGUCAUCCUUGGGAUACCACCCUUGUAGUACUGGGAUCCUAACCAUAGGCCUUGAAUCAGGUCUUGGAACACCGUCAGGUGGGCAGUUUGACUGGGGCGGUCGCCUCCUAAAAAGUAACGGAGGCGCUCAAAGGUUUCCUCAGCACGGUCGGAAAUCGUGCGAAGAGUGUAAAGGCAAAAGGAAGCUUGAUUGCAAGACAUACAGGUCGAGCAAGGACGAAAGUCGGACUUAGUGAUCCGGUGGUACCGCAUGGAAGGGCCAUCGCUCAACGGAUAAAAGCUACCCUGGGGAUAACAGGCUUAUCUCCCCCAAGAGUCCACAUCGACGGGGAGGUUUGGCACCUCGAUGUCGGCUCAUCACAUCCUGGGGCUGUAUUCGGUCCCAAGGGUUCGGCUGUUCGCCGAUUAAAGUGGUACGCGAGCUGGGUUCAGAACGUCGUGAGACAGUUCGGUCCCUAUCCGUCGCAGGCGUAGGAAAUUUGAGAAGACCUGUCCUUAGUACGAGAGGACCGGGAUGGACGUACCUCUGGUGUACCAGUUGUUCUGCCAAGGGCAUGGCUGGGUAGCUAUGUACGGAAUGGAUAAGCGCUGAAAGCAUCUAAGCGCGAAGCCAACUUCAAGAUAAGAUUUCCCACCGUAAGGGUAAGACCCCAGGAAGACUACCUGGUUGAUAGGUCGAAGGUGUAAGUGCAGUAAUGUAUUUAGCUUAUCGAUACUAAUAGGUCGAGGACUUGACCAA
This 1800-nucleotide ribosomal RNA is filed under the name human gut metagenome. RNAcentral's name for it is "bacterial LSU rRNA". It matches the Rfam family "Bacterial large subunit ribosomal RNA", at positions 1104 to 2925 of the family's 2925-position model. The record is from RNAcentral.